CAGAGUUCAUGCCCUUUGGGGUAGACCUCCCACCCUUGUAUAUUUAUACCUUUGUUGCUUUGGUAGGCCGUUGGGCUUCGGCUUAGCUACCGGCUCCGGCUGGUGAGUGCCUACCAGAGGAUACCAAAACUCUGAAUGUUAGUGUCGUCUGAGUACUAUAUAAUAGUUA
RNAcentral lists this unclassified non-coding RNA (169 nucleotides) under uncultured Cryptosporiopsis. RNAcentral's name for it is "sequence contains ITS1". The record is from RNAcentral. Lineage: Eukaryota; Fungi; Ascomycota; Leotiomycetes; Helotiales; Dermateaceae.